Molecule: ribosomal RNA, 159 nt
Filed under: Paenibacillus sp. UNC496MF
Lineage: Bacteria; Bacillati; Bacillota; Bacilli; Caryophanales; Paenibacillaceae
Description: 23S rRNA. Bacterial LSU
Rfam family: Bacterial large subunit ribosomal RNA
Source: RNAcentral
ACGGGAUAAGCGCUGAAAGCAUCUAAGCGUGAAGCCCCCCUCAAGAUGAGAUUUCCCAAUUUAGUAAGACCCCUUGAAGACGACGAGGUAGAUAGGUUCGAGGUGGAAGCGCAGCAAUGCGUGGAGCUGACGAAUACUAAUCGGUCGAGGGCUUAUCCA